RNAcentral lists this long non-coding RNA (986 nucleotides) under Equus caballus (horse). Its description in RNAcentral is "lncRNA (ENSECAG00000051440.1)". The stretch from base 230 to 363 matches the Rfam family "U11 spliceosomal RNA". The record is from RNAcentral. Lineage: Eukaryota; Metazoa; Chordata; Mammalia; Perissodactyla; Equidae.
AAGCACUGCACAUAUUUGCAUAGCAAUUCGCGUCCUUGCUUCACUUCAAAAAACAGAAAUGACAAAUCAAAGAGUCUUCUUGUGAAGACGUCCCUUUGCUUCAGAAGAUGUUGCAGUUCCUCUCUCAAACUCAGGAACAGGGAGUAGGAAAUGGCAUCGGCUUUGUUUUCACCUUUACCAAAAGAGAGGUUCGGCAACAGCGCCCCCCUGCUUUGAAUUUUUUCUUUUUAAAAAGGGCUUCUGUCGUGAGUGGCACACGUGGGGCAGCUCAAUUGCUCUUCGUGCGGAAUCGACAUCAAGAGAUUUCGGAAGCAUAAUUUUUUGGUACUCGGGCAGCUGGUGAUCGUUGGUCUCGGCGCCCCUGUUCAGAUGGGUCCGAAAAGAAAAACGAGUUCUCGUUGGCCUCUGUAAGAGUAAUGCGGAAACUGAGGCCAAGACAGAGACUGAUCCAAGGUCACGGAGCCAGCAAGCACUGAACUUGUCCUCUCUGACUCCAAAACCAGGAAGUCCGCCUUUCGCUUUGGUCGUGGUGGUGGGCAGUGGGUGAGGGUGGGGUGAGGGCAGGGGAGGAAGUGAUUCACUUGGCUGUAUCCAGAUUCAUCCCAGACUUUUUUUUUCUUGUACCCACUGGCAGAACUUCCUCCUUUUCUCUCUCUGCCUCGUUUUCUGAUUCACUCCCCAUCUGUUAUGGUUUCUGAGAAUGUGGGUGCAGAGGGUGGGGUAAGCUGUGGGGAGUGGGAGGGAGAAUGCAGCCAGUCCUUAAUAAACAAAUAUUUUUUAUGCUCUCUAUGUACCAGGCAACGUUCUAGGGGCUGGGAGUCCUGCCGUGAAUAAAACAGACCUUGUCCCAGCUCUCAUGGAGAGUCCAUUGCAGGGUAGUUAGUGGCUGGCCAGGCAGCUAGAGACACUGUUCUGGGCUAGAAGUAGACACCUGAGAGGAGAGACCAGAGGCUGCCACUCGGGACCCACAGGCCACACUUCUUCAC